UUCUUGUGAGUGUAAAAACAUGUCGGGUGAUUUUCAUAGCAACCAAACCUCGUCCACAAUUAACGGCUAACAAGGCUUGUUUUUAUGGAAAAGUUUAAGUCUCUAAAGCUUUGCCUUUUGAGGGAUUUGGAUUUGGAUUUUUACUCUUUGUCAAAUGGAGAUGUUCAAGUCCAAACUUUUUUGGCACAACAGAAAGGAG
Molecule: long non-coding RNA, 199 nt
Filed under: Solanum tuberosum (potato)
Lineage: Eukaryota; Viridiplantae; Streptophyta; Magnoliopsida; Solanales; Solanaceae
Description: long non-coding RNA (STUB_LNC011655)
Source: RNAcentral